RNAcentral lists this ribosomal RNA (497 nucleotides) under uncultured bacterium. RNAcentral describes it as "partial 16S ribosomal RNA". It matches the Rfam family "Bacterial small subunit ribosomal RNA", at positions 28 to 507 of the family's 1533-position model. The record is from RNAcentral.
GACGAACGCUGGCGGCGUGCUUAAUACAUGCAAGUCGAGCGAACAGACGAGGAGCUUGUUCCUCUGACGUUAGAGGCGGACGGGAGAGUAACAUGUGGAUAACCUACUUAUAAGAGUGGGAAAAACUCGGGAAACCGGAGCUAAUACCGGAUAAUCUAUUGAAACGUAUGGUUAAUUAGUGAAAGACGGUUUUGAUGUCAGUCAUAGCUGGAUAUGAGCUGCAUUAGCUAGUUGGUAAGGUAACGGCUUACCAAGGCAACGAUGCGUAGCCGACCUGAGAGGGUGAUCGGCCACACUGGACCGUGAACACGGUCCAGACUCCUACGGGAGGCAGCAGUAGGGUAUCUUCCGCAAUGGGCGAAAGCUUGACGGAGCAACGCCGCGUGAGUGAUGAAGGUCUUCGGAUCGUAAAACUCUGUUAUUGGGGAAGAACAAAUGUGUAAGUAACUAUGCACGUCUUGACGGUACCUAAUCAGAAAGCCACGGCUAACUACGUG